UACGUAGGGUGCAAGCGUUGUCCGGAAUUAUUGGGCGUAAAGAGCUCGUAGGCGGUCUGUUGCGUCGGCUGUGAAAACCCGAGGCUCAACCUCGGGCCUGCAGCCGAUACGGGCAGACUAGAGUUCGGCAGGGGAGACUGGAAUUCCUGGUGUAGCGGUGAAAUGCGUAGAUAUCAGGAGGAACACCUGCGGUGUAGACGGCUUACUGGACGGUAACUGACGCUGAGGCACGAAAGCGUGGGUAGCAAACAGG
RNAcentral lists this ribosomal RNA (253 nucleotides) under uncultured bacterium. RNAcentral's name for it is "partial 16S ribosomal RNA". It matches the Rfam family "Bacterial small subunit ribosomal RNA", at positions 524 to 776 of the family's 1533-position model. The record is from RNAcentral.